GGGUAAGUCCUGUACGAUCUGCUCCCGCUGAACCCGCCCAGGGCCGGAAGGCAGCAAGUGCAGGCGGUCGUAGCGAUGCGAUGCAGGUAGCUUACCCGCU
This 100-nucleotide signal recognition particle RNA is filed under the name Bacteroidales bacterium. Its description in RNAcentral is "signal recognition particle sRNA small type". It matches the Rfam family "Bacteroidales small SRP". Rfam says of the family: The non-coding component of the signal recognition particle in Bacteroides Lineage: Bacteria; Pseudomonadati; Bacteroidota; Bacteroidia; Bacteroidales. The record is from RNAcentral.